GACGAACGCUGGCGGCGUGCCUAAUACAUGCAAGUAGAACGCUGAAGAGAGGAGCUUGCUCUUCUUGGAUGAGUUGCGCACGGGUGAGUAACGCGUAGGUAACCUGCCUUGUAGCGGGGGAUAACUAUUGGAAACGAUAGCUAAUACCGCAUAACAAUGGAUGACCCAUGUCAUUUAUUUGAAAGGGGCAAAUGCUCCACUACAAGAUGGACCUGCGUUGUAUUAGCUAGUAGGUGAGGUAACGGCUCACCUAGGCGACGAUACAUAGCCGACCUGAGAGGGUGAUCGGCCACACUGGGACUGAGACACGGCCCAGACUCCUACGGGAGGCAGCAGUAGGGAAUCUUCGGCAAUGGGGGCAACCCUGACCGAGCAACGCCGCGUGAGUGAAGAAGGUUUUCGGAUCGUAAAGCUCUGUUGUAAGUCAAGAACGAGUGUGAGAGUGGAAAGUUCACACUGUGACGGUAGCUUACCAGAAAGAGACGGCUAACUUCGUG
This 497-nucleotide ribosomal RNA is filed under the name uncultured bacterium. Its description in RNAcentral is "partial 16S ribosomal RNA". It matches the Rfam family "Bacterial small subunit ribosomal RNA", at positions 28 to 507 of the family's 1533-position model. The record is from RNAcentral.